GCAGCCUACAAGGCCAAUGAAAAUUGCCAGGCUCAUGGCUGGGUGUUGCCUCAAUACCCUCAGCCCGAGUACUUUGCAUAUCGAUUUUACUCCAAGACGAAUAGCUUCCUAAAGAUUGUCCAAGAGAUGGAAGAACUGAGAUGCAACCAGCAGAAGAGGGUGCUAGUGCACUGCAUUCUCAAUAUGGAAGACUUUGAAGACAAAACCUACACAGCAGACUUCAAUUAUUUGGUGCUGUAUUAGCAAUUGUCACAAUAGAAGAAAUAGAAAAAGUAUAACUGGGGACAAAACAUAUAUUAGAAUUACGUGAUUUCAAAAGGUGUAAUCAUUCUUCAUGGGCAACAGAAAAUUGAGAUCAACGAAAAUGGGAGGAAGGGCAUAUUUUCCAUUUCUAUAGACAUUAACCCUGAAUUAGCGCCCUCAGUAGAUAUGCUUGUCUAUAGCUUGCAUCCUGGAGGAGAAAUGGUCACUGAUAGCACCCAAUUCCGAAUUGAGAAAUGCUUCGAAAAUCAGGUCAACUUAAAUUUUUCUAAAGAAAAAAGUUUACCAGGAUCCAAUAUUGAUCUUCAAGUCUCGGCUGCUUCAAACUCUCUUUGUGCUCUUUGGGCUGUAGACCAGAGUGUAUUGCUACUAAGGAAUUAUGGUCAGCUGUCAGCACAAACUGUGUAUAGUCAGCUAUAUUCCAGGGAACUACAUGGCUAUUACUUCAGAGGACUUAACUUAGAAGAUGGCCUUAAAGUGCCGUGUCUUGAAGAUGAACAUAUCCUUUACAAUGGAAUUUAUUACACACCUGCAUGGGCUGACUUUGGAAAAGAUGGCUAUGACCUUGUGAAGGCAACAGGAUUAAAGAUUUUUACCAACUCUCACCUCCGGAAACCAGUAUUGUGCAAGGAUUCUAACCAUCUUGACUCUACUGAUUACAUACCCUUAGGAUCCUCAAAACAAUCGGAUUUUUCAAAGGCAAAAUGUGACUUCUUUCCGAAAUAUUACCCAACUCUCGUUCCAACUGAUUUCAGAACCAAUGUUUGGAGAUUACUGGAUUGUUGUGAAAAGAAACUCAAGGGAGACAGUGACACACCAAUUUGCUGUUAAAAGAUAUGUGCUGCCCAAGUUUGAAGUUACAGUCAAUGCACCACAAACAGUAACUAUUUCAGAUGAUGAAUUCCAAGUGGAUGUAUGUGCUAAGUACAACUUUGGCCAACCUGUGCAAGGGGAAACCCAAAUCCGGGUGUGCAGAGAGUAUUUUUCUUCAAGCAAUUGUGAGAAAAAUGAAAAUGAAAUAUGUGAGCAAUUUAUUGCACAGUUGGAAAAUGGUUGUGUUUCUCAAAUUGUAAAUACAAAAGUCUUCCAACUCUACCGUUCGGGAUUGUUCAUGACAUUUCAUGUCGCUGUAAUUGUUACAGAAUCUGGGACAGGUAAUUACUUUAUGCAGAUCAGCGAGAAGACCUCAGUUUUUAUCACUCAAUUGCUUGGAACUGUAAACUUUGAGAACAUGGAUACAUUCUAUAGAAGAGGGAUUUCUUAUUUUGGAACUCUUAAAUUUUCGGAUCCCAAUAAUGUACCUAUGGUGAACAAGUUGUUGCAACUGGAGCUCAAUGAUGAAUUUAUAGGAAAUUACACUACGGAUGAGAAUGGCGAAGCUCAAUUUUCCAUUGACACUUCAGACAUAUUUGAUCCAGAGUUCAACCUAAAAGCCACAUAUGUUCGACCUGAGAGCUGCUAUCUUCCCAGCUGGUUGACGCCUCAGUACUUGGAUGCUCACUUCUUAGUCUCACGCUUUUACUCCCGAACCAACAGCUUCCUGAAGAUUGUUCCAGAACCAAAGCAGCUUGAAUGUAAUCAACAG
RNAcentral lists this long non-coding RNA (1846 nucleotides) under Homo sapiens (human). Its description in RNAcentral is "novel transcript". The record is from RNAcentral. Lineage: Eukaryota; Metazoa; Chordata; Mammalia; Primates; Hominidae.